This 255-nucleotide ribosomal RNA is filed under the name uncultured bacterium. RNAcentral's name for it is "partial 16S ribosomal RNA". It matches the Rfam family "Bacterial small subunit ribosomal RNA", at positions 524 to 776 of the family's 1533-position model. The record is from RNAcentral.
UACGUAGGGUGCAAGCGUUAAUCGGAAUUACUGGGCGUAAAGCGUGCGCAGGCGGUUCUAUAAGACAGAUGUGAAAUCCCCGGGCUCAACCUGGGAACUGCAUUUGUGACUGUAGAGCUGGAGUGCGGCAGAGGGGGAUGGAAUUCCGCGUGUAGCAGUGAAAUGCGUAGAUAUGCGGAGGAACACCGAUGGCGAAGGCAAUCCCCUGGGCCUGCACUGACGCUCAUGCACGAAAGGCGUGGGGGAGCAAACAGG